Camellia sinensis is the source of this 730-nucleotide non-coding RNA. The record is from RefSeq and is a predicted model, not a curated record. NCBI's taxonomy places the organism in Eukaryota, Viridiplantae, Streptophyta, Magnoliopsida, Ericales, Theaceae.
CUUUUCUCUUACUCAUAGUGUCACUUCUUCACGCGGUUCUUUCUCUCCCUGUCUCUCUCUCUCUCUCUCACACACAGAGAAUCAAUCACUCGUACUACCCUCUCGGCUCCCUCAAAUCGAUUGUGAACCCGGUUCAACCCACCUUGGCCACGGAGGACAUGGGAGCCGGACGCUUCACACUGAACAUUUCUAGGGUUAAUGGGUCGGUGGCGAUCGAUACAGGAAUCGUUCAUGGGUUGGAGUCGAAUGUGAUUCGUUCAAGAAAUCCGAUCCGAAGCGGCUGGGAAUGGCGUACAGAGAUUCGUUCUUGCUUUUUGUUGUAUAGCAUUGUAUCUAUAGGCAUGUAUAAAAACCAAUUACAAGAAUUGGCUUAGAGAAGCUGCUUCAACCUGCCGUCUUAUUCAUGUAUUCGAGAAGGUCCAGAUCAUGCCCCCAGAUUUAAAGCCACUGUCAACUUUAAUGGCGAGACAUUUGAAAGCCACACGUUCUGUUCUACCUUGAGGCAAGCAGAACAUGCUGCAGCAGAGGUAGCUCUGACCACACUUGCAAACAGAGGCCCCUCUAAAGCCUUGGCUGCAAGAGUUUUGAUGGUUUUGUUGCGUAGACUUAUGGAUAAUCCAUAUUGGUGUAUGGAGAAGAAUUUUCACUUUUGUGUAGAACUAAUAUAAUACUUUUGUCGUCCUCAGUUUUUGUGUAGUUCAUUAUUACUGAUACAGAAAACUUUUGGCAA